Molecule: long non-coding RNA, 612 nt
Organism: Amblyraja radiata (thorny skate)
Lineage: Eukaryota; Metazoa; Chordata; Chondrichthyes; Rajiformes; Rajidae
Exons: 3
Source: RefSeq, a predicted model, not a curated record
GUAGUGAGUGGGGUAAAUAUUUGAACGAGCUCUACUGCCACUUACAUCCUCUUGACUCCAUUGCUACAUCAGUUCGCUCAGCCCUAAAAAUGCAGAAACAAUCCGGAGGACAAUUCUUGUUUGGGAAAGACUGUCUAGCAGUAAAUGCCAUUCUACAGAUGAGCAAGCUUCGUUAUAAAAACGGAAAAGGGGACCCAAAAGGAUUUGUCGCAUUUUUAGAUGACAGGAACAUCCCCCGAGGUGUCCUCCCACGGUACCGUGGCAACAGAUUGCACAUACUGUUUCAUAUUAGUGGCAAGCUAAUUGAACAUUAUGAUGACUUUGUUGCACUGCUGAAUAGCGGAACAUCCUGUGGGGGGUUGAAAAGCGCCAUCCUCCAUGACUUCACCCAGGCUGAAGCAAAAGUAGAACUUCAGAUAUUGGGCUUACUUGGCAAAUAUCUGACUGGGCCUUGGAUGAAGCGCUUCUACACUUCAAGCCAGAAUCAGAUCAACCAUGUUGAUGGCAUCAAAGUGGUUAAAGGGGUGAUUGCUGCUCUAAAGAAAGCCACAGAAAAUCCAGAGAAAUUGAUAUUGGCAAGGGAAGAUUUCUUCGUGUGGGGAAAGAGUAUAG